CGCGCUUGGAGUGGUUAGGUGGGGGUCCCGCUCCCAUCCCCCGAGCUGUGCCGUUCGGGUCUCCUUUGCCCAGGACGGCCACACGGGGUAGCCCCUCCUCCGCCAGAGGACACGGAUGUGUCUGUUCUCGGGGAACAUCGGCCUGGCCACGGUCUAUCCCUCCCGCGUGUGGAUCCCAGAUGCCUCUGGACGGGAGCUCUGCCCAGCCGGGGCAAGGCCUGGCGAGCUGGGCCCGUCUCGGACGAGGAGUGUCGGUGGCUUCUGAGCUGUUUGGAAAUCCCUUCAGACAAGUCUUUAUUUUUCAGCCUCCAGGUGUUGUUGCAAAAAGAAGUAGAUUUGGUGGAGCCAAACACACAAUAGAGGGCUGCUGCUGCUGGAAGAUCUGUGCUCCUCGAUCGCACUGCCCACGUGAGGCACCCACGCAGACCGCACAGGGGAUGGAUGAAUUCAACCUGGGGAUGUUGCAUCACAGAACUUUCAUAAAACACUCUGUUUAACACUGAGCCAAUUCAGGGAUGAUUCAUCUUUGUUCCUGCAAACAGAUGCUGUUUUGGGCACUUCUUGUAUGCCCUGCUGGAAUUAUGCAAUGCAAUGGUGACAUUUUUUGGGGCA
Molecule: long non-coding RNA, 612 nt
Filed under: Chloebia gouldiae (Gouldian finch)
Lineage: Eukaryota; Metazoa; Chordata; Aves; Passeriformes; Passeridae
Description: Erythrura gouldiae (Gouldian finch) lncRNA (ENSEGOG00005008020.1)
Source: RNAcentral